CUACGGGAGGCACCAGUGAGGAAUAUUGCGCAAUGGGGGAAACCCUGACGCAGCGACGCCGCGUGGAUGAUGAAGGCCUUCGGGUCGUAAAAUCCUGUCAGAAGGAAAGAAGUGUAUGGUAGCUAAUAUCUGCCAUACUUGACGGUACCUUCAAAGGAAGCACCGGCUAACUCCGUGCCAGCAGCCGCGGUAAUACGGAGGGUGCAAGCGUUGUUCGGAAUUACUGGGCGUAAAGCGCGCGUAGGCGGUUUUAUAAGUCAGAUGUGAAAGUCCACGGCUCAACCAUGGAAGUGCAUUUGAAACUGUAAGUCUUGAGUAUGGGAGGGGGUGGUGGAAUUCCCGGUGUAGAGGUGAAAUUCGUAGAUAUCGGGAGGAAUACCGGUGGCGAAGGCGACUAUCUGGCCAAAUACUGACGCUGAGGUGCGAAAGCGUGGGGAGCAAACAGGAUUAGAUACCCUUGUAGUC
RNAcentral lists this ribosomal RNA (465 nucleotides) under uncultured bacterium. Its description in RNAcentral is "partial 16S ribosomal RNA". It matches the Rfam family "Bacterial small subunit ribosomal RNA", at positions 339 to 795 of the family's 1533-position model. The record is from RNAcentral.